GAUGAACGCUGGCGGCGUGCCUAACACAUGCAAGUCGAGCGAACGGACGAGAAGCUUGCUCCCCUGAUGUUAGCGGCGGGCGGAUGAGUAACACGUGCAUCACCUACCUCUUAGACUGGGAUAACAACGGGAAGCCACUGCUGCUAACGCAUCAUAUUUUGAACCGCAUGGUUCAAAAGUGAAAGACGGUCUUGCCGUCACUCAUAGCCGAAUCCGGGCUGCAUUAGCUACUUGGUAAGGUAACGGCCUACCAAGGCAGCGUUGCGUAGCCGACCGGAGAGGCGGAUGGGCCACACGAGAACGGGGACAGGGUCCAGACUCCUACGGGAGGCAGCAGUGGGGAAUCUUAGGCAAUGGGCGAGAACCUGACACAGCAGCGCCGCGUGGGUGAAGAAGGCCUUCGGGUCGUAAAGCCCUGUUAUUGGGGAAGAACAGAUGUGUGUGGAAAUGUAGAGAUCCUGACGGUACCUAAAGAAAAAGCCACGGCUAACUACGUG
This 497-nucleotide ribosomal RNA is filed under the name uncultured bacterium. RNAcentral's name for it is "partial 16S ribosomal RNA". It matches the Rfam family "Bacterial small subunit ribosomal RNA", at positions 28 to 507 of the family's 1533-position model. The record is from RNAcentral.